UACGUAGGGUGCGAGCGUUAAUCGGAAUUACUGGGCGUAAAGUGUGCGCAGGCGGCCGAGCAAGUCGAGUGUGAAAGCCCCGAGCUUAACUUGGGACUGCGCUCGAAACUACUUGGCUAGAGUGUGGCAGAGGGAGGUGGAAUUCCACGUGUAGCGGUGAAAUGCGUAGAGAUGUGGAGGAACACCGAUGGCGAAGGCAGCCUCCUGGGCCAACACUGACGCUCAUGCACGAAAGCGUGGGGAGCAAACAGG
This 252-nucleotide ribosomal RNA is filed under the name uncultured bacterium. Its description in RNAcentral is "partial 16S ribosomal RNA". It matches the Rfam family "Bacterial small subunit ribosomal RNA", at positions 524 to 776 of the family's 1533-position model. The record is from RNAcentral.